GAGAUGGUGGGGGUACAGUAACAAAGUAUGUGACACACACUGAGUAUGGAUAAAUGGGGGAGAGAUGGUGGGGGUACAGUAACAAAGUAUGUGACACACACUGAGUAUCCCCAUCAUCUCUCCCCCAUUUACCUAUACUCAUUGUGCGCCACAUACUUUGUUACUGUACCCCCACCAUCUCUCCCAUUUUCCCCACACUCGGUGUGAGUCCUUUACUUUGUUACUGUAUCCCCCACCAUCUCUCCCCAUUUACCCAUACUCAGUGUGCGUCACAUAUUUGUUACUGUACCCCCACCAUCUC
Non-coding RNA from Pelobates cultripes (western spadefoot toad), 301 nucleotides. NCBI's taxonomy places the organism in Eukaryota, Metazoa, Chordata, Amphibia, Anura, Pelobatidae. The record is from the annotation of a GenBank genome assembly.